GAUGAACGCUAGCGGCAGGCCUAACACAUGCAAGUCGAGGGAGAGGUUAUCUUCGGGUAACCAAAACCGGCGCACGGGUGCGUAACGCGUAUACAAUCUGCCUUUCACAUAGGGAUAGCCCGAAGAAAUUUGGAUUAAUACCUAAUGGUAUAUAAGAGCGGCAUCGUUUUUAUAUUAAAGCUACGGUGGUGAAAGAUGAGUAUGCGUUCUAUUAGCUAGUUGGAGAGGUAACGGCUCCCCAAGGCGACGAUAGAUAGGGGUUCUGAGAGGGAUGUCCCCCACACUGGUACUGAGAUACGGACCAGACUCCUACGGGAGGCAGCAGUGAGGAAUAUUGGACAAUGGUCGGAAGACUGAUCCAGCCAUGCCGCGUGCAGGAUGAAGGUCCUAUGGAUUGUAAACUGCUUUUGUAAGGGAAGAAUAAGGAGUACGUGUACUUUGAUGACGGUACCUUACGAAUAAGCAUCGGCUAACUCCGUGCCAGCAGCCGCGGUAAUACGGAAGAUGCGAGCGUUAUCCGGAAUCAUUGGGUUUAAAGGGUCCGUAGGCGGGCUGAUAAGUCAGAGGUGAAAGCGCUUAGCUCAACUAAGCAACUGCCUUUGAAACUGUCAGUCUUGAAUGAUUGUGAAGUAGUUGGAAUGUGUAGUGUAGCGGUGAAAUGCUUAGAUAUUACACAGAACACCGAUAGCGAAGGCAUAUUACUAACAAUUUAUUGACGCUGAUGGACGAAAGCGUGGGGAGCGAACAGG
RNAcentral lists this ribosomal RNA (749 nucleotides) under uncultured Capnocytophaga sp. Its description in RNAcentral is "bacterial SSU rRNA". It matches the Rfam family "Bacterial small subunit ribosomal RNA", at positions 28 to 776 of the family's 1533-position model. The record is from RNAcentral. Lineage: Bacteria; Pseudomonadati; Bacteroidota; Flavobacteriia; Flavobacteriales; Flavobacteriaceae.